GGCACGGUGCCUCACGCCUGUAAUCUGAGCACUUUGGGAGGCUGAGACGGGUGAAUCAUGAGGUCAGGAGUUCAAGACCAGCCUGGCCAACAUGGCGAAACCCCAUCUCUACUAAAAAUACAAAAAUUAGCCAGGCAUGGUGGCGGGCACCUGUAGUCCCAGCUACUCGGGAGGCUGAGCACAAGAAUCGCUUGAACCAAGGAGGCAGAGGUUGCAGUGAGCCAAGAUCGCACCUGGGUGCAACUUAUGGCUGUAGUGAAUGCCGAGAAUGAAGUACUCAGACAAUUCUAGCUGAGCGGGGCGGGGAGCAGUUCCUUUGAGAGAGCGUCACUCUAAGAUCUGUCUGCCAGGUAUUUAUUGAGAGAGCUUGUUUAAACUACAAUUUAGACAAACAAGAGACAUCCACCAGGUGGCUCUUGGCGGUCGGGUAUGAGGCACAUAUGGCCUUGUAAAAAACACUCAAACCACAUUUUUAGGAGGCUGUGUUCAGCGCUCCUUAUCACACAUACUACUCCCUGUCCUGUUUUCAAGGUCCAGGAGAUCUAGUCUUGUGUACAAACAACAUGCACACAGCGC
RNAcentral lists this long non-coding RNA (576 nucleotides) under Homo sapiens (human). RNAcentral describes it as "non-protein coding lnc-CDH1-5:1". Lineage: Eukaryota; Metazoa; Chordata; Mammalia; Primates; Hominidae. The record is from RNAcentral.